Molecule: ribosomal RNA, 467 nt
Filed under: uncultured bacterium
Lineage: Bacteria
Description: partial 16S ribosomal RNA
Rfam family: Bacterial small subunit ribosomal RNA
Source: RNAcentral
GACGAACGCUGGCGGCGUGCUUAACACAUGCAAGUCGAACGGAAAGGCCCUGCUUUUGUGGGGUGCUCGAGUGGCGAACGGGUGAGUAACACGUGAGUAACCUGCCCUUGACUUUGGGAUAACUUCAGGAAACUGGGGCUAAUACCGGAUAGGAGCUCCUGCUGCAUGGUGGGGGUUGGAAAGUUUCGGCGGUUGGGGAUGGACUCGCGGCUUAUCAGCUUGUUGGUGGGGUGGUGGCUUACCAAGGCUUUGACGGGUAGCCGGCCGGAGAGGGUGACCGGCAACAUGGGGAUGGGGUAAGGGCCAGGCAGCCAACGGGGGCAAGGGGGGGGGAGAAUUGCACAAGGGGCGGAGGCCGGAUGAAGCAACGCCGGGGGGGGGAGGACGGCCUUCGGGUGGGAAACCGCUUUCGCUGUGACGAAGCGUGAGUGACGGUAAUGGGUAAAGAAGCACCGGCUAACUACGUG